UAAUACGGAGGGGGCAAGCGUUACUCGGAAUUAUUGGGCGUAAAGGGCGCGUAGGUGGUCGCGUGCGUCGGGGGUGAAAUACCCGGGCUCAACCCGGGAACUGCCUUCGAUACGGCGUGGCUUGAGUCCGGGAGAGGGGAGCAGAAUUCCCAGUGUAGCGGUGAAAUGCGUAGAUACUGGGAGGAAUACCGGUGGCGAAGGCGGCUCCCUGGACCGGUACUGACGCUGAGGCGCGAAAGCGUGGGGAGCAAACAGGAUUAGAUACCCUGGUAGUCCACGCUGUAAACGAUGGGUGCUUGGUGUCGGGGGUAUCGACCCCUCCGGUGCCGAAGCUAACGCAUUAAGCACCCCGCCUGGGGAGUACGGUCGCAAGGCUG
This 377-nucleotide ribosomal RNA is filed under the name uncultured bacterium. Its description in RNAcentral is "bacterial SSU rRNA". It matches the Rfam family "Bacterial small subunit ribosomal RNA", at positions 521 to 896 of the family's 1533-position model. The record is from RNAcentral.